ACGAACGCUGGCGGCAUGCCUAAUACAUGCAAGUCGAGCGAACGGAUGAGGAGCUUGCUCCUCUGACGUUAGCGGCGAAUGGGUGAGUAACACGUGGGCAACCUGCCCUGUAGUUGGGGAUAACUCCGGGAAACCGGGGCUAAUACCGAAUGAUUAAUUCUUUCUCAUGAAAGGAUUCUGAAAGACGGCUUCGGCUGUCGCUACGGGAUGGGCCCGCGGCGCAUUAGCUAGUUGGUAAGGUAACGGCUUACCAAGGCGACGAUGCGUAGCCGACCUGAGAGGGUGAUCGGCCACACUGGGACUGAGACACGGCCCAGACUCCUACGGGAGGCAGCAGUAGGGAAUCAUCCACAAUGGACGAAAGUCUGAUGGUGCAAUGCCGCGUGAGCGAAGAAGGUUUUCGGAUCGUAAAGCUCUGUUAUGAGGGAAGAACAAGUACAAGAGUAACUGCUUGUACCUUGACGGUACCUCAUUAGAAAGCCACGGCUAACUACGUG
RNAcentral lists this ribosomal RNA (497 nucleotides) under uncultured Caryophanales bacterium. Its description in RNAcentral is "bacterial SSU rRNA". It matches the Rfam family "Bacterial small subunit ribosomal RNA", at positions 29 to 507 of the family's 1533-position model. The record is from RNAcentral. Lineage: Bacteria; Bacillati; Bacillota; Bacilli; Caryophanales.